Molecule: transfer RNA, 67 nt
Filed under: Marmota monax (woodchuck)
Lineage: Eukaryota; Metazoa; Chordata; Mammalia; Rodentia; Sciuridae
Description: tRNA.Leu
Rfam family: tRNA
About the family: Transfer RNA (tRNA) molecules are approximately 80 nucleotides in length. Their secondary structure includes four short double-helical elements and three loops (D, anti-codon, and T loops). Further hydrogen bonds mediate the characteristic L-shaped molecular structure. tRNAs have two regions of fundamental functional importance: the anti-codon, which is responsible for specific mRNA codon recognition, and the 3' end, to which the tRNAs corresponding amino acid is attached (by aminoacyl-tRNA synthetases). tRNAs cope with the degeneracy of the genetic code in two manners: having more than one tRNA (with a specific anti-codon) for a particular amino acid; and 'wobble' base-pairing, i.e. permitting non-standard base-pairing at the 3rd anti-codon position.
Source: RNAcentral
GGUCAUAGCUCAGUGGUAGAGCAUUUGCCUCAGAUGUGUGAGGCCCUGGGUUCAAUCCUCAGCACCA